UAAGACGAACCGUGCGAACGUUGUUCGGAAUCACUGGGCUUAAAGGGCGCGUAGGCGGACCGCCAAGUCCGGGGUGAAAGCUUUCGGCUCAACCGGAAAAGGGCCUUGGAUACUGGCGGCCUCGAGGGAGGUAGGGGCAGGUGGAACUUCCGGUGGAGCGGUGAAAUGCGUUGAUAUCGGAAGGAACGCCGGUGGCGAAAGCGGCCUGCUGGACCUCUUCUGACGCUGAGGCGCGAAAGCCAGGGGAGCGAACGGGAUUAGAUACCCCGGUAGUCCUGGCCCUAAACGAUGGGUACUAGGUAGUGGACUGACAUGGGUUCCCUGCCGAAGCCAAAGUGGUAAGUACCCCGCCUGGGGAGUAUGGUCGCAAGGCUG
RNAcentral lists this ribosomal RNA (375 nucleotides) under uncultured bacterium. RNAcentral describes it as "bacterial SSU rRNA". It matches the Rfam family "Bacterial small subunit ribosomal RNA", at positions 521 to 896 of the family's 1533-position model. The record is from RNAcentral.